GCGGUUGUGGCGAAGUGGUUAACGCACCGGACUGUGGCUCCGGCAUUCGCGGGUUCGAAUCCCAUCAGCCGCCCCA
RNAcentral lists this transfer RNA (76 nucleotides) under Bacillus anthracis (anthrax bacterium). Its description in RNAcentral is "tRNA-His". It matches the Rfam family "tRNA". Rfam says of the family: Transfer RNA (tRNA) molecules are approximately 80 nucleotides in length. Their secondary structure includes four short double-helical elements and three loops (D, anti-codon, and T loops). Further hydrogen bonds mediate the characteristic L-shaped molecular structure. tRNAs have two regions of fundamental functional importance: the anti-codon, which is responsible for specific mRNA codon recognition, and the 3' end, to which the tRNAs corresponding amino acid is attached (by aminoacyl-tRNA synthetases). tRNAs cope with the degeneracy of the genetic code in two manners: having more than one tRNA (with a specific anti-codon) for a particular amino acid; and 'wobble' base-pairing, i.e. permitting non-standard base-pairing at the 3rd anti-codon position. The record is from RNAcentral. Lineage: Bacteria; Bacillati; Bacillota; Bacilli; Caryophanales; Bacillaceae.